GAUGAACGCUGGCGGCGUGCCUAAUACAUGCAAGUCGAGCGAACAGAAGAGGAGCUUGCUCCUCUGACGUUAGCGGCGGACGGGUGAGUAACACGUGGAUAACCUACCUAUAAGACUGGGAUAACUUCGGGAAACCGGAGCUAAUACCGGAUAAUAUAUUGAACCGCAUGGUUCAAUAGUGAAAGACGGUUUUGCUGUUACUUAUAGAUGGAUCCGCGCCGCAUUAGCUAGUUGGUAAGGUAACGGCUUACCAAGGCAACGAUGCGUAGCCGACCUGAGAGGGUGAUCGGCCACACUGGAACUGAGACACGGUCCAGACUCCUACGGGAGGCAGCAGUAGGGAAUCUUCCGCAAUGGGCGAAAGCCUGACGGAGCAACGCCGCGUGAGUGAUGAAGGUCUUCGGAUCGUAAAACUCUGUUAUUAGGGAAGAACAAAUGUGUAAGUAACUAUGCACGUCUUGACGGUACCUAAUCAGAAAGCCACGGCUAACUACGUG
This 497-nucleotide ribosomal RNA is filed under the name uncultured bacterium. RNAcentral's name for it is "partial 16S ribosomal RNA". It matches the Rfam family "Bacterial small subunit ribosomal RNA", at positions 28 to 507 of the family's 1533-position model. The record is from RNAcentral.